UGAGCUUGAUCGGAACUUUAACAUUGAUGAGUCAGGCUUCGUGUUUUUUCUAAUAAAACCAAAAUUCUUGGCUGAAAAAGGCUCAAAAAACGUCCCUUACAACACCUCAAAAGAUAAGGAAAGAAUUACUAUUUUAGCUAAUGUUAGUGCAGAAGGAUCAUUGCCAACACCACUUGUAAUAUAUUCUAAUGUGCGUAUUCUAAUGAACGUUUAUGCAUCUUUACCUCAUGAUGCAGCAUGAUUGAAGGUGGCAGAAGGUUAUAAAACAAAAUGCAACUCCUAUGUUUCAAAAGUAUCUUUCUCUAGUCUUUUUCUCCCAAUGUACUCAAAAUCAAUGACUGAGGUGAAAGUUAAAAAUGCUUUCAAGAAAGGCGGAUUUAGCCAUUUAAUACUGAUGCUAUUGAUUACGCAAAGUUUAUCUUACAAGAAGAACAUGCUGGAGAUAAGCACCUUUUUGAGGGUGUUUCAAUAAAGGUGGCUUUGUUGAAGCCUCAACCUCAACCAAUAUUAUACUUGAAUGAAAGCACUCAGACUAAGCCAAGUAAGAAACUCUUCAAAUAGGUUUCACUGAAGCACAAGCAACUGGGUCAUACAUAAACCUAAUUUAGAAUAUUCAUACAGAAUUUUAAAAAGUUGCAUUGAAUUUGUAUUGGAUUGUCCCAGAUUAGACAUGCUUAAAACAAGCAAACGAAGAAACAGAUUUGAUUUUACGUUUAAACGAAACAGGUGAUUUGAGACACAAAUCAGCACAUCCACAAAUCCAAGUUCUCCCAAGAUCCAACCCUCUGCAAGUGGAAUUAAUUGCCAUUACUCUUUUUCUGAUAAUUCAUCCUUUGCAACGAUUCCGCAAAUGGUGAGCGCUUUUUUUCAACAGUUCAAAAGAAGUUUUUGAUAAGAAAAAAGUAAUAUGAUAAUGUAAAAGAAAUUGAAUAAUUAAAUUAAUUAAAAAUAAAAACAAGAAAA
Molecule: long non-coding RNA, 963 nt
Organism: Hydra vulgaris (swiftwater hydra)
Lineage: Eukaryota; Metazoa; Cnidaria; Hydrozoa; Anthoathecata; Hydridae
Source: RefSeq, a predicted model, not a curated record